UUAUUUAUUAGCUUCAUUGAAAAUCUCUCUCUCUCUCUCUCUCUCUCUCUCUCUCACACACACACACGCGCGCGCACGCGCGCACGUGUGUGUGUGCGUGUAUUAACAAUAACUCAUUUAUGGAUUCCUGGGUGCCUCUGCAUAUUUUUUCAUUCUAACGAGUUCAUUUCACUAAUUCGAUUUCUAUGUUCUUCAAUUAACUAAAAGAAGUGGGUAAUCUGCUAUGUUCAGGUAAACUAGCGGAGUAUGAUGAGCCAAUGAAGUUAAUGAAGAGGGAAGGUUCACUCUUCGGGCAGCUAGUAAGGGAAUACUGGUCGCAUUUGCACUCUGCAGAAUCACAUUGAGGCUACCGAUUAUUUCUUUUGUACUUCUUUAAUAUCUCUUUGCUGUUAAUUUUCUAUUGCUUUAACAGCAAAGAGAAAUUAAAAGUGUAAGUAGAUGUAUAGUAUCCCUUUAGCAUAGCCCGGCUAGUGAGAACAAAAAAGGAAGAGGAAUGUUUUUCCCUUCAUUAGGUUUAGUUUGCUGAAUUGUGUGCACCCAGGCUUCCUUGUUAAUUUACAGAAGCCAAUGUGUUCUGUAAUUGUGCCAAUUUUUCAUAAAAACAAUUUCCACAACUUUUGUCCUCUCAUUUAUAAUGUUAAUAGCUUGAUGCUUAGAAUUUAACGCAAUCACUUCCCGCUUACAGAAGGAAGAAUCAAGUUAUAUAUAUAUAUAUAUAAAAGAUCAAGUUAAGUAAGUUGGUUUGCCUUUAUUUUAUGUUGUUAAACGUUACAUAUAAAUCAUCACCAAAAUCAUUGUCUUUAUUCAACUUCUCUUUCUCUGCACAUGAAGAGACAGAGAGAAAGAGAACUCUCUCUCACACUUAAGAGAGUCAGAGACACAUGACAGGCGUUUAGUGGACGAAGAUUUUGGGUUUCGUGUGGAUCCUGUUUGCUUAUUUAUUCGUUUCCAUUUUUCUGUUCGAAAAAAGAAAAUGAUUUAUAUUAUGGUGCAGCAUCAAACUGUUUAGAAUGCUUACUCAGUUUUGUUUCUUUAGAAUAAUGUAUAUGAGGAUCUUGCAGCAAUAACUUAAAGCAGAAGUUUCUUUCUGGGUUUGAAAAAAUAAAAUAACCCGAUGUGUUCCCUCCCACUGCACCUCUCUUUCUGUUCAGAGUUUUGUUAAUGGAGGCUGGGUUUUUGGAAAAAAUAUUCCCCAAACUUCUACAGAAAUAUUUUCACUCGAAGAGCUAGCUUGAGCAAGGUUCACUGUUUGCUCAGCUAGCGAAGGAAUAUUGGUCUCAUCUGCACCUGCAGAAUCACAUUG
RNAcentral lists this long non-coding RNA (1303 nucleotides) under Citrus sinensis (sweet orange). RNAcentral describes it as "long non-coding RNA (CSIN_LNC004020)". The record is from RNAcentral. Lineage: Eukaryota; Viridiplantae; Streptophyta; Magnoliopsida; Sapindales; Rutaceae.